GGGUUUCAGCUUUACCGCCCUGGUGAAGCUGGGAGGUUCAGUGCAUUGGUCGGGCCGCCAAUG
Molecule: non-coding RNA, 63 nt
Filed under: unclassified sequences
Description: Li+-I sequence
Rfam family: nhaA-I RNA
About the family: Acidobacteria, Alphaproteobacteria, Betaproteobacteria and Gammaproteobacteria, Verrucomicrobia, cand. division NC10.
Source: Rfam by way of RNAcentral